Molecule: long non-coding RNA, 566 nt
Filed under: Physcomitrium patens
Lineage: Eukaryota; Viridiplantae; Streptophyta; Bryopsida; Funariales; Funariaceae
Description: long non-coding RNA (PPAT_LNC002000)
Source: RNAcentral
UAAAGGAUAAUUAGGAUUUCUAAGAUCUUUAGUUAUCUACUAGUUGGACUAGAGUGAAAUUUAUAUAUAAAGGUAAUAGACUUGAUUUGCUACUCAUAUGUGAAUUUUGAAAAUAAUUGAAUGGUUUGAAAAUGAGAUAUUAGUACUAGAAAUUCAAUAUUUAGAUUGGAGUAGUAGGCCAGCUAAUACCUAAGAGGAUUUUAGGAUUUUUCUUCUAUUUGGUAAGUGCAAUUAUCUUCAAAUUUUUUGUAUAAUUUUCUUACUAAGAAUUUGAGAGGUGUGUAAAUUUUCAAGCAAGAUUGAUGGUUUAAUCAAUAGAUAUUAGAGUUUUGAUUUGCUUUAGAUUUUAGGAUUUAGGAUUUGUUAAGGAUUUGUCUAGGAUUUAGUUUAAGCUUUAGGAUUUGUCUAGAAUUUGGUUUAGGAUUUAGGAUUUAUUUAGGAUUUGAUUUAAAGUUUAGGAUUUGUCUAAGGUUUGAUUUAGGAUUUAAGAUUUGGCCUAGGGUUUGAUUGAAGACCAUUAUGAUUUCAAUUAGGAUUAAAUUAGGACUUGAUUAAAGUUUAUUUAA